UUUAGUGACUCUAAAAUUUUAAAUUUUGAAUACCUCGUUUAUUUUUACAGAUCUAAUUAGCAGCUUUAUUAUAAUUUACAAAACUAUUUCCACUAAAAUAAGUAGUAAGUCUAAAAUUUUUACCAGAAGAGCCAUCCAAUGGCUUGUAGUAGAUAGAUUGAAAGGUUGAGUGUUAAAAUUGAACUUUUAAAACAUGCUAAAAUCUUUAACUAUUUAAAUUGACAGAACAGUCAAUACACGUGGCGGUUAGAGGAUGACCCUAUUCCAUGUGGCGGUUGGAAGCUGAUCCCACCCCUCUCUCUCUCCCAAAAACUGACCGCUCUCUCUCUUUCUCUCUCUCUACCAAAGAGAUCAACCCUCUCUCUCUCCCCAAACCGAUCGCCCCCUCUCCUGAACUAGGGAUGCAAAUAGAUCCGGGUUGGUGGAGCUCCGCCCCGAUCCGCCCUGAAUGGGGUGGUAAGUGGGAACAAAAAAUAUAAAAAAAUAUAAUCCGCUCCGAAUCCGCUCCAAUCCGCCAAGUAAAUGGAGCAGGAGGUGGGAAAUUCUUUUCUUCCCUCAAUCCGUCCCGAUCCGUCAAAAAUCAGGCUCCUGCCCCGAUCCGCCCCGAAUGGAGCGGUAAGUGAGAGCCAAAAAUAAAAUGAAAAGUAACCCGCCCCGAAUCCGCCCCGCCCCGAUAAGAAAUGGAGCGGGAGGUGGGGGAACUCUCCCGCCUUCGGAUCCGCCCCGUUUGCAUCCCUAUCCUGAACUGAUCCCCCUCUCUCUCUUACUCUCUCUCUUUUUCCCUCUUUCUCUCUCUUUCUUUCUCUCUUUCUCUCUCUUCCUCUCUCUUUAUUUCUCUCUUUCUCUCUCUACAAAAUUUAUGCCAUCUCACCAGCAAAUUUCC
RNAcentral lists this long non-coding RNA (883 nucleotides) under Ananas comosus (pineapple). Its description in RNAcentral is "long non-coding RNA (ACOM_LNC021568)". Lineage: Eukaryota; Viridiplantae; Streptophyta; Magnoliopsida; Poales; Bromeliaceae. The record is from RNAcentral.